RNAcentral lists this ribosomal RNA (548 nucleotides) under Fusarium sp. NRRL 43494. RNAcentral describes it as "eukaryotic LSU rRNA". It matches the Rfam family "Eukaryotic large subunit ribosomal RNA", at positions 1 to 559 of the family's 3401-position model. Lineage: Eukaryota; Fungi; Ascomycota; Sordariomycetes; Hypocreales; Nectriaceae. The record is from RNAcentral. RNAcentral also lists the same sequence under 1 other name.
UUGACCUCGAAUCAGGUAGGAAUACCCGCUGAACUUAAGCAUAUCAAUAAGCGGAGGAAAAGAAACCAACAGGGAUUGCCCCAGUAACGGCGAGUGAAGCGGCAACAGCUCAAAUUUGAAAUCUGGCUCUCGGGCCCGAGUUGUAAUUUGUAGAGGAUGCUUUUGGUGAGGUGCCUUCCGAGUUCCCUGGAACGGGACGCCAUAGAGGGUGAGAGCCCCGUCUGGUUGGACGCCGAACCUCUGUAAAGCUCCUUCGACGAGUCGAGUAGUUUGGGAAUGCUGCUCUAAAUGGGAGGUAUAUGUCUUCUAAAGCUAAAUACCGGCCAGAGACCGAUAGCGCACAAGUAGAGUGAUCGAAAGAUGAAAAGAACUUUGAAAAGAGAGUUAAACAGUACGUGAAAUUGUUGAAAGGGAAGCGCUUGUGACCAGACUUGGGCUUGGUUGAUCAUCCGGGGUUCUCCCCGGUGCACUCUUCCGGCCCAGGCCAGCAUCAGUUCGCCCUGGGGGACAAAGGCUUCGGGAACGUGGCUCUCUCCGGGGAGUGUUAU